Molecule: non-coding RNA, 30 nt
Filed under: Homo sapiens (human)
Lineage: Eukaryota; Metazoa; Chordata; Mammalia; Primates; Hominidae
Source: RNAcentral
GACAAACUCGGCCCACAUGGGGGUUUCGCC